Long non-coding RNA from Drosophila yakuba, 5722 nucleotides. RefSeq lists it as uncharacterized. Lineage: Eukaryota; Metazoa; Arthropoda; Insecta; Diptera; Drosophilidae. The record is from RefSeq and is a predicted model, not a curated record. The transcript has 2 exons.
UUCUUUAUAAUUGAUAUAGGGAUUUUUAAAAUAUAAACUUCAGUAAUUGGCAGAUAUUUCCUAAAAGGUUUCUCUAUAAAAAGUAAACGCAACCUGCUGCCCUGUCGAUUUAAUCUGAUAGGGUAGAUUAAUCUUCACUUAACGUUUCGGUUUAGCCGCUUUGUACACCCAAUUUGGGUUUUGGCUUCAGCCAAAUCGUAUCUGCAGCUCAAACUUAUCGGUAAUCCAUCGCCUUCCAGGGCCACUUAACAUACUUUUUAUCUAUAUCUUCGAUCUGGCCGCAUUUCCUCUUUAUCGAGUUUGGUUCGGUUCCUGUUCAGGCCGCAACUUCCUUGGCAUUGUGGCUCGUUUUUUUCUUUCCUUUGUUUUUGAUAUACUUUUUUGGCAAACUUCUCGGGUGUCAGGGAGGAAGUAGGUGUACAUGUUGUGGUUGAUUCGAAGGAUACCUGCUCCUCGCGAGGGAUGCUGUCGCCUGGAACCCGAAUUCAGUGUCCUGAAAGGCGAUACGACGGGAGUGUGCGAAUGCCGGUUUGGCAUUUGUCUAAAAUGCGGUUUUCCCUGGCAUUUAAUUUCUAUUUCAACAUUGCAUUCGUAAUUCGAGCCCUUCCCACAGGUGUGUGUGUGUGUGCGUGUGUGGAUUUGGUCUUGGGGAAUUGGAAUUGGAGCAGGUUAGCUGGCAAUCUCUCUAGACGGUGUAUUUUAGUGCUGGAGUCCAUCGUUUAUAUAUUCAUGUUACCUUGGAGAGCAUUUUCCCUGCUUUUUGUUUGGCUUUCCCUCAAAUUGUGCGUGCUAAAAACAGUUGACAUAUCCAUGGGCGUGGCUCAAUGCUCGGUGUCUGGGGGCUUUUACCGUUGGCAUUUUACCUGAGCUACCUGCUCAACCAGCAACUCACUUGGCGCUCCUUAAAAUGUCAAAUGUUCUCGGGGACCAUCCAUCCAUCCGUUCGCUCGUCCGUGCCCACAUAUGAUGUACCCAUCCCCUGCAGCUACAGCUGCUAAUGGAAAUUGCGGUUGGCGGAGGCGUUUGGCGACGACUUCCUGUCGUGCUCGGCCUGGAGAAAUUUAUGCUAAAAGGUUGCCCGUUUGACUUGAGGACGACCUGCGCUUUCCACCCGAGAUGCCCCUGCAACUUAAGGCCUCCAAUUCCACGGGCUAUCUAUUAGAAUAUGAGCUAUUUCGUAUGAAGGUGGUCGCAGCAAAAACGAAUGUUAUCCAUUCAUAUUUAGGAGCAAUUUGCCUGUACGAUGGCCAAUCCCGGCCCAUCCUUGGUGUCCGUCCGUAAGUGAGUCCUUUGUCCGUUGUCCGUGAGUGCGUGCGGCGCCUGGAAAAGCAUUUUGUGUAAAUGCGGCGCAAACAAGCUCCAGACUAAUUACGACAGGGAGAUAAAGGAAAGCAGAGCCAGCCAUGCCAGGAUUCAGGUUCCAGGAUAAUAAUCUAAGCAAAUUUAUCAACACGGACACAUAUGAACAAAAUAUGAAGGAAAAAACGAGCAGACAGCAAGGGAUACGCACCAAACGAGCGAGUGAAAAAUUAUGCGAUGCGGACCCCAACAAAAGACACAUGGAAAACACUGUGGAAAAUGGGAACAGAAAGGGGUUUGUAAAUGUGAAGGAUUCGGAAAUUGGGAAUUUGCCUAGUGCUGUUUGUUUAGUUAUUUUCAGUUAAUUAACAUUUCCUGAAAAUUACUAAAAUCUAAACUGUUACCUUCUAUUUUUUUAUUUUGUUUACAAACGAAACUAAAUUCAUUGAAAGCAACAUUAAAUUAAUUAAAUAAUAUUAAAUUCUUUUUUAAGAUGUGCGAAAUGUAAUUGUAUUUAGCUAGUUAAGUGAUUAAACUUUUGGAAGUAACAAAAUACAUAUUUUUCGAGAAAAUGUUGCAUUAAAAAUAUACAUUUAUUCAAUCAUUACUAUAGAUAUUUAAACAACUUUUGUGCUUAUUGACAUGUUAAGUUGGGUAACUUAAAAUAGCACGCCACGUGCUGCAGUGCAAAAAAAAAACACAGACAAGUAGAACGGCUAAGAUAAGAACUCAAAGAAGGAUUCAGGCAGGCCUAUUCAGACAAAAGGUUAUUUGGGCGAGGUUCCCACUUUCCCAGGAACUGGAAAAUCUGAUUUCCUUUUUGGCAAAGAUCAUUAGGAGAACACCGCCUACAAACAAAUCCCGUGCAAAUAUUUGCCGCAGCUAACAACUAAAUCUGCGCGGGAGAAGAUGUUGCAACAUGGCCUAAGCCCAGAUCGUAAUGUCCUAAGCCGGCUCGGGAUUAAAUUGGCUUAAAUGGGACCUAGAGCACAAAGGUGAAAUGUAUACAGUUCAUCAAGGAUUGAUCCUUUGCAUAAUUUUACGCAUUCUCUGGCUGGCGGGAAACCCCAAAAUGCGAACACCAGAAAAUGCGGAGCGUGAAACGGAGUACGGAACUUUCCUCAACCGGAGGCGACCAUCAAUCAUCGUCAGGCUCUGGGGCACAUUAGCAUUUAUGAACUUUUGGCCGAGUUGAUUUUUCUCUUAAAAGAGCAGCCAAGGGCUGCGAUUUUGGUCUAGGAUGGGUUGACUUUAAUAGGGUUUUCCAUUAUUCCAUGCGCUUGUGCAUAUUUGGCAGUCAAUUAAUGUCAAACUAGUUUCCGCUCUCGCCCAGCAAUCGAUCAAAAAUGUUGAAUGCAACCACCUCUGUGGGUUGCUGCAAUAAAAUUAUUUGACAUUAUUCAUAUGACCCGAAUACAACAGCAAAAAUGAGCGAUGACAAUGAGGUAACCUUAUUAAAACUGGAGGAUAGACGAAGUCACCAUUGAGGUGUUGAUGAUCCCGAUAAAAAGUAAACAUGUUGUGGGAACACCUUUUGCCAUCGGUGGUUAAUGAUUCAGUUUUUACUACAGUACCCAUCAAUUUGAUAUGGUGUUUAGGUUACCGUGGUUCAGCCAAAUGAAACUAAUCUAGAAAUUCAUGGGAGAAGUUCUUCAGAUGAGAUGUUCUUAAUUAAGAUUUGGGUCUUGAUAAGAACAUGAAAAUUAUAGGCUUCAUGCUCGACAAACUUUAAUCGCUAUUACAUACAUUGCUCCAAGGAGAUCGAAACGUGAAAUCUUAUAUUUGUACCAAAAUGUAUAUGUAAUUAAUCUUAAAAAGCAGUAAUGAUAAAGCCAUCUAGAUUUGAAGUGUAUCACUUUAUAUCGUUAAAACAUUGUUAAGCUUCUUAAACUUUAAAUUCCGAUUAGCAAUAACAAAUCUGGCAUUUCACAUAAUCCGUUUGUCUUGUGCAAUUUAAAUUUGCAAACCUGGUAAGCAUUUCAUUAAGUUAAUUAAAAUAAACCGAAAAUCCCCAACCAGUCAAAUGGAAUUUCGCAACUUAGUUUUUCAGAUUUUUUACGCUCUGCCAUUAUUAAAAGCGGCAUUUUAAAUGCCAUUUUGCAUUAUGAAUUUAAUCCAAUUGUUGAUGGCGGUGAAAAAAAGGACAAUGCAGCAAACAUACAGAAACAACAAUCAAAUGAUACGACCCGUGACCGAAGUGGAUUAAACUCUAAUUUAAUAACUCAGUUGGUGGGUGAAAAAAAUGCGAGCUCGCAAAGUGCUCAAAUAUUAUUAAAUGAAAACCUCAAAAUGGGCGACAGUUGCAGCAUAAUGAUUUACACCACAGAACUGUCAACGGUUAUUGAUACUAUAUGGAACAUAUAUACAUAAAUAUAUAUAUAUAUAUUCGAUUUAAGCAGUAUGCCGACACAUGGCGUGGCAUCGGUUGGCCACAAUCCACGAAUCCUGUCCACAGAUGCGUUUACAACUCACCAGAACGCCCAGCACUCAUUCCUCAUAUGUCAUGGAUAGAUGACUACUUAAGGGAUCUGUCAAUUGCCUAGGAUAAUGUUGUGUUCUGUCGGUAAUUUAUGCCCAUACCAAACUCAAGUGGAUCUUGGUUUCUCGGUAUACGUCUGCGCACAUCUGUGUAACCCUAGAUCCCACAACGCCCCCAGCUCCCUGAGAUUCCACUCUCUCCCCAAAGAUCUAUGUAUAUCCCUCGUGGUUAGGCCCAUGCCAAAUGCCAGUAUAAUCACAUUGUUGACUGCAACUGCAACUAAUUACAAAUCAAUUUGAACCAGCCCCCAAAGGCAAACGAAUUCCGGAGAGAGUAGUUCCAUGGCUAACCGCAACACAGGAAGCGGGAUCGCGGGAUCGCGGGUUCCAACCUCCUUAACACCUGCCUGCACCCCAUUAAAAUGGUAUAGGAGCAGUGUCAAUGCCAAGUUUAAAAACAGAACACACAACUAAAUUGACAUCUCAGGCUGGCCGUAAAUCAAAGGAGACAACUCAGACAUCCAAACCAUGUUCAAGUGACGAAAUGAGCUGCAGAAUGAGUCAUAAAAACAUAGGAAUUUGGAGGAGAUGGAUCACAUUUGAUGGUUGUCUUUUAUGAUCCCACAAUUGAGAUACAGCAAGAUGGCGAUAUGAAAUGUCUGUGGAGGGCAGUGUAGAUAUAUUUAAGGAGGAAACGUUGGAUCACAAAUGAUGGAUGGAAUUUUUAGUCAUUUCAGAUAGGAGCUUAUGAAGUGAUAAGCUAGUAAUAGAUCCUCAAAAACGCCUGGUAAGCCCUUAAAAAAUACAAAGAAUGCAGGAAAAGCAGGAAGAACAUAGAAUGUUUGGCAUGUACUUUUACAAUAUUUUAUUUGUAGUACCCCUAGAACUGACGGCUACUUACAUAUAACAACGAAAUAUUAAAGACAUCAAAUUUGAGUGGAAAAAAUAUAAGAAUUGGUAGUGAAAAAAUUGUGUUUAUGCAAACAAUUAAAGCAAAUAUAUUUUUGGGAUCGGACCUACCCCCAUCUCGAUUCUCUUUGUACUCAAACUCCAACUCUUUCCACACAUCGUCUAAGCUUAUUAGUGCCCAAGUUGUUUUUGCCAUAUAUUUAUUUUUAUAAACCUUUCUCAAACAGUGGCGCAUAUAAGCACUUCAGCUUCGAUGCCUGGCCAUUGUUCGGGGAUCUUGAGAAGAACAGAGAAAUCAUUUGUCUUCUAAUUAUGAUUUCAAUGGCUUGGCAAAAUCAAAGAAGGCGUAAUUCGCUCUCACCCCAGGACCAGGACUCGUUCGGGGCUCCUUAAAGGCGGCAAAUCGAAUCAAAGAAAUAGCAAACAAACAAACCAGAAAGGAAAAGGAGACUCCUCUAUGGUAUUGUUGACAGGCCGCCGAAAAGAAGGAGACCGCAAAAUACACUCAGACAAAGGAUGCGGAGCAGGGGCGACUUCAUCUGCACAAAAGGAGCGGAAAAAGCGAUCAAAGAGCUAACAAAAAGCGGAGCACCGAACUCGAAAACAUAAUGCAGAGGAGGAGGCAUCAUCACAUGUCCAAAGUGAGGUAAACCCAUCUGAAAAACCCCUAAGCAUGCCGAAAUCCAAACCAGAUCCAUGCGGCCAGCUUAGGACUCCUUUUUUUUUGGCCUCAUCUGCUUUGUUUGCCACCACAUUGCGUUGUCGUCUUUAAGCGCUUUAAGCGAAAUUAAAACAUUUCACGCCGCAGCAGGAGGUGUCCUGGAAAUUCCAAAGCUCUCAAGGUUUCUUAAAAAUAAUAUCAACACAACCUUUGAACCCAGACUGCAUGUGGCUUAGCACUCGAAGAAAAAUUGUAUUUUAUAAAAAUAAUUUUUUGUUGUUCAACUUUUUCAUAUUUUGAAGGCCUAAGCAAUAUACUUUGUUUUAUUUUGUUUAAUGUGGAACAACUCUGAAACUAAUGAACAUAGUUGAUAUA